This 492-nucleotide ribosomal RNA is filed under the name uncultured bacterium. RNAcentral describes it as "partial 16S ribosomal RNA". It matches the Rfam family "Bacterial small subunit ribosomal RNA", at positions 30 to 507 of the family's 1533-position model. The record is from RNAcentral.
AUUGAACGCUGGCGGCAUGCUUUACACAUGCAAGUCGAACGGUAACAGGCCUUCGGGUGCUGACGAGUGGCGAACGGGUGAGUAAUGCAUCGGAACGUGCCCAGAGGUGGGGGAUAACGCAGCGAAAGCUGUGCUAAUACCUCAUGUGAUCUGAGGAUGAAAGCGGGGGACCAGGCAGCAAUGUUUGGCCUCGCGCCUUUGGAGCGGCCGAUGUCAGAUUAGGUAGUUGGUGGGGUAAAGGCCUACCAAGCCGACGAUCUGUAGCUGGUCUGAGAGGACGAACAGCCACACUGGGACUGAGACACGGCCCAGACUCCUACGGGAGGCAGCAGUGGGGAAUUUUGGACAAAGGGCGUAAGCCUGAUCCAGCAAUGCCGCGUGCGGGAAGAAGGCCUUCGGGUUGUAAACCGCUUUUGUACGGAACGAAAAGGCUCUGGCUAAUACCUGGGGCUGAUGACGGUACCGUAAGAAUAAGCACCGGCUAACUACGUG